ACAAAGGGCAGCAAGUUCGCGAGGACAAGCAAAUCCCAUAAACCGUGGCUCAGUUCAGAUCGUAGGCUGCAACUCGCCUACGUGAAGGAGGAAUCGCUAGUAAUCGCAGGUCAGCAUACUGCGGUGAAUACGUUCCCGGGCCUUGUACACACCGCCCGUCACACCAUGGAAGUUGGCCAUGCCCGAAGCCGUUACUCCAACCCUUGUGGAGGAGGACGUCGAAGGUGGGGCUGAUGACUGGGGUGAAGUCGUAACAAGGUAGCCGUACCGGAAGGUGCGGCUGGAUCACCUCCUAAC
RNAcentral lists this ribosomal RNA (297 nucleotides) under uncultured Synechococcus sp. Its description in RNAcentral is "partial 16S ribosomal RNA". It matches the Rfam family "Bacterial small subunit ribosomal RNA", at positions 1239 to 1533 of the family's 1533-position model. Lineage: Bacteria; Bacillati; Cyanobacteriota; Cyanophyceae; Synechococcales; Synechococcaceae. The record is from RNAcentral.